AGAGUUUGAUCCUGGCUCAGAAUCAACGCUGGCGGCGUGCCUAACACAUGCAAGUCGAACGAGGUCCAAGCAGUCGCAAGACUGUGGAAGACCGAGUGGCGAACGGGUGCGUAACACGUGAGGAACUUGUCCCGGUCUCUGGAAUAACAGGUGGAAACACCUGCUAAUACCGGAUGCCGUCGGAUCAUCGCAUGGUGGUCUGACGAAAGGGUUACCGGAUCGGGAGAGCCUCGCGGCCUAUCAGCUUGUUGGUGAGGUAAUGGCUCACCAAGGCAUCGACGGGUAGCUGGUCUGAGAGGAUGAUCAGCCACACUGGGACUGAGACACGGCCCAGACUCCUACGGGAGGCAGCAGUGGGGAAUCUUGCACAAUGGGCGAAAGCCUGAUGCAGCAACGCCGCGUGCGGGAAGAAGGCCCUAGGGUUGUAAACCGCUUUCAGCAGGGAAGAAAAUGACGGUACCUGUAGAAGAAGGUGCGGCCAACUACGUACCAGCAGCCGCGGUGACACGUAGGCACCAAGCGUUGUCCGGAUUUAUUGGGCGUAAAGAGCUCGUAGGCGGUUCGGUAAGUCGGGUGUGAAAACUCUGGGCUCAACCCAGAGCCGCCACCCGAUACUGCUGUGACUUGAGUGCGGUAGGGGAGCGGGGAAUUCCUGGUGUAGCGGUGAAAUGCGCAGAUAUCAGGAGGAACACCAGUGGCGAAGGCGCCGCUCUGGGCCGUGACUGACGCUGAGGAGCGAAAGCGUGGGUAGCAAACAGGAUUAGAUACCCUGGUAGUCCACGCCGUAAACGUUGGGCACUAGGUGUGGGUCUCAACCAACGAGAUCCCCGCCGUCGCUAACGCAUUAAGUGCCCC
This 855-nucleotide ribosomal RNA is filed under the name uncultured bacterium. RNAcentral describes it as "bacterial SSU rRNA". It matches the Rfam family "Bacterial small subunit ribosomal RNA", at positions 8 to 870 of the family's 1533-position model. The record is from RNAcentral.